AAUGAACGCUGGCGGCGUGCUUAACACAUGCAAGUCGAACGGUAACAGGAGCAGCUUGCUGCUUGCUGACGAGUGGCGCACGGGUGAGUAAUAGAUAGAUAAUGUGCCCCUUAGUCUGGGAUAGCCACUGGAAACGGUGAUUAAUACUAGAUACGCCUUUUUAGCUUAAGCUAAUUUGGGAAAGGUUUUUCGCUAAGGGAUCAGUCUAUCUCCUAUCAGUUAGUUGGUGAGGUAAGAGCUCACCAAGGCAAUGACGGGUAGCUGGUUUGAGAGGAUGAUCAGCCACACUGGAACUGAGACACGGUCCAGACUCCUACGGGAGGCAGCAGUGAGGAAUAUUGCACAAUGGGGGCAACCCUGAUGCAGCAACGCCGCGUGGAGGAUGACGCAUUUCGGUGUGUAAACUCCUUUUAUAAGAGAAGAACAUGACGGUAUCUUAUGAAUAAGCUCCGGCUAACUCCG
This 462-nucleotide ribosomal RNA is filed under the name uncultured Sulfurimonas sp. RNAcentral describes it as "bacterial SSU rRNA". It matches the Rfam family "Bacterial small subunit ribosomal RNA", at positions 29 to 505 of the family's 1533-position model. The record is from RNAcentral. Lineage: Bacteria; Pseudomonadati; Campylobacterota; Epsilonproteobacteria; Campylobacterales; Sulfurimonadaceae.